AGAGUUUGAUCAUGGCUCAGGACGAACGCUGGCGGCGUGCUUAACACAUGCAAGUCGCGCGAUUCUCGAAGUUCGGGGUUGGGAGUUCGAACCUCGAACUUCGAACCUCGAACUUCGAGAAUAGCGGCGGACGGGUGAGUAACACGUGGAUAACCUACCCAUUAGACCGGGAUAACACCGGGAAACUGGUGCUAAUACCGGAUAAGCUCUUUAGAGUAAAAGCCUUAAAGAGGAAAGGGGAAACUCACUAAUGGAUGGGUCCGCGUCCUAUUAGCUAGUUGGUAGGGUAACGGCCUACCAAGGCGACGAUGGGUAGCCGGCCUGAGAGGGUGACCGGCCACACUGGGACUGAGACACGGCCCAGACUCCUACGGGAGGCAGCAGUGGGGAAUAUUCCGCAAUGGGGGAAACCCUGACGGAGCAAUGCCGCGUGAGUGAAGAAGGCCUUUGGGUCGUAAAACUCUGUCUUGAGGGACGAAAAAAAUGACGGUACCUCAAAAGAAAGCCCCGGCUAACUACGUGCCAGCAGCCGCGGUAAAACGUAGGGGGCGAGCGUUGUCCGGAAUUACUGGGCGUAAAGGGCGUGUAGGCGGCCUGUGUAGUCAAGUGGUGAAAACCCGGGGCUUAACUUCGGGAUGGCCCUUGAAACCAACAGGCUUGAGGACAGGAGAGGGGAGUGGAAUUUCCGGUGUAGCGGUGAAAUGCGUAGAUACCGGAAGGAACACCAGUGGCGAAGGCGGCUCCCUGGACUGGUCCUGACGCUGAGGCGCGAAAGCGUGGGGAGCAACAGGAUUAGAUACCCUGGUAGUCCACGCCGUAACGAUGGGUGCUAGGUG
RNAcentral lists this ribosomal RNA (836 nucleotides) under bacterium enrichment culture clone IsoM-43. Its description in RNAcentral is "bacterial SSU rRNA". It matches the Rfam family "Bacterial small subunit ribosomal RNA", at positions 8 to 822 of the family's 1533-position model. The record is from RNAcentral.